Molecule: non-coding RNA, 125 nt
Organism: Triticum aestivum (bread wheat)
Lineage: Eukaryota; Viridiplantae; Streptophyta; Magnoliopsida; Poales; Poaceae
Source: Rfam
CAUGUACUCCCUCCGUCCGGAAAUACUUAUUGGAUAAAUAGAUACAAAUGGAUGUAUUUAGAACUAAAAUACGUCUAGAUUCAUCCAUUCCUCGGACAAGUUUUUCCGGACGGAGGGAGUACUCG